AUCUGUUUAAACCCAAGUGGACAUUUGAUUUGAAAUCAAAUAGAUUGUUUUUAAUAACAAUACAAAUU
This 68-nucleotide transfer RNA is filed under the name Anindobothrium lisae. Its description in RNAcentral is "tRNA-Ser". Lineage: Eukaryota; Metazoa; Platyhelminthes; Cestoda; Phyllobothriidea; Phyllobothriidae. The record is from RNAcentral.